Molecule: ribosomal RNA, 253 nt
Filed under: uncultured bacterium
Lineage: Bacteria
Description: partial 16S ribosomal RNA
Rfam family: Bacterial small subunit ribosomal RNA
Source: RNAcentral
UACGUAGGGUGCAAGCGUUGUCCGGAAUUAUUGGGCGUAAAGAGCUCGUAGGCGGUUUGUUGCGUCGGCUGUGAAAACCUGAGGCUCAACCUCAGGCCUGCAGUCGAUACGAGCAGACUAGAGUGUUGCAGGGGAGACUGGAAUUCCUGGUGUAGCGGUGAAAUGCGCAGAUAUCAGGAGGAACACCGGUGGCGAAGGCAGGUCUCUGGGCCAUAACUGACGCUGAGAAGCGAAAGCAUGGGGAGCGAACAGG